UACGUAGGGUGCAAGCGUUGUCCGGAAUUAUUGGGCGUAAAGAGCUCGUAGGCGGUUCGUCGCGUCGGCUGUGAAAUCCCGAGGCUCAACCUCGGGUCUGCAGUCGAUACGGGCAGGCUAGAGUGUGGUAGGGGAGAUCGGAAUUCCUGGUGUAGCGGUGAAAUGCGCAGAUAUCAGGAGGAACACCGGUGGCGAAGGCAGAUCUCUGGGCCGUAACUGACGCUGAGGAGCGAAAGCGUGGGGAGCGAACAGG
This 253-nucleotide ribosomal RNA is filed under the name uncultured bacterium. Its description in RNAcentral is "partial 16S ribosomal RNA". It matches the Rfam family "Bacterial small subunit ribosomal RNA", at positions 524 to 776 of the family's 1533-position model. The record is from RNAcentral.